RNAcentral lists this transfer RNA (55 nucleotides) under Trapelus sanguinolentus. RNAcentral's name for it is "tRNA-Cys". The record is from RNAcentral. Lineage: Eukaryota; Metazoa; Chordata; Lepidosauria; Squamata; Agamidae.
GGCCUGGGUUUAGCUAAAGUGCAAAUUUAGCUUAGAAAUUGUUUUUCACAGGCCU